AGAUGAUGGCACCGGAACUCCUUAUGACAAAGAAUCAACAGCAAUCAUAAAACUGAACAAUACAACUGUCCUUUAUUUAAAAGAGGUGACAAAAUUCCUUGCUCUUGUCUGUUUUGUCAGAGAAGAAAGCUUUGAGAGAAAAGGAUUAAUAGACUACAAUUUCCAUUGUUUUCGAAAAGCCAUACAAGAAGUAUUUGAAGUACGAAUGAAAGUAGUAAGAUCUCGAAAACAUCAAAGCCACAUGCAAAAAAAUAAAAGACCCACUCCCAAUGGGACACCAAGAAUGCCACUGUAACUGAGGUUUCCUGGCGCUGUGGCAAGCAAGUUUUUGUGAAGUUGAUGUGACUUCUGCAUCUCAUUGCACUGAGGAAGAGGAAAACAAAUGGGACUGGUGUAUUAUAUGAAUUUCCCCUGAACAUUCAGAAAGCACUGUUUAAAUAUUUUUAUCCAAUCAGUUGUUUUUUCAUAUAGUGAGCACUUUGAGCAAAAUGUUGUAUAUAUAAGCAUUGAGUUGAACACUUGUAAGAAUUUUCUUAAUAUAUGCUGUAAACCUUUUCCAUGCCAUAUUAAGAAGAAACAGCUGUGACAGAAAUACUGGGUACAUAAUUUGCACUUUUUCAUGUUUUCCUUGUGGAGUUGGACUUUGAUAAACUUAGUUUUUAUGGUGAUUUUGAUGCAUGGUGUCAGGUAAAAUGUAUGCUGUAGUUUAUUUACCUGCUACAAUCAAAUUGGUUAGUAAACAAUUAAGAAAACUUGGUACAAUGCCUUUUAAAAUUUGUGACAGCUAAUACCUAACAUUCAUACAGAUCUAAUUUCGUAUAUUUUUCAAUUUGUAAACUGAAGAAUAAUUUUGAAGUAUUGCAGCAAUAAGCACCUUACCAGCGAUCAUAUCUGGUAGGUAAAUAUUAGCUUUUAUAAAACAGGCUUUUGGCCAAAUUUCAUCCGGAAUUCUCCAUAACACUGGUCAUGCCCUCUGUUGGGUCUGGUUUUAUUAUUUACCUCAGCAUAUACCACUAAAAUACCUUUCUAUAAAGAUAAUUGUUUUGUAAAAUGGCUCUAUGUUGCACUGGUAUUUUUAUAAGGCUUCAGAGGAGCGUGUUGUAUCUGAAAGGUUGAAUUUUCAUUGCUAAGUUUGUUUUGAGAGCCUGCUCAUCUACAGCUGACGCAGUGAAGAAUCUGUGUGUAUUUUCACCCUGAUAUUCUGAUGUACUGAUAGGAAGUCCUAAAGAUGUGAGCACUGCAUUCUGAUUCCCUCUAGUAGGGGUUAUGUCUGUGACUGAAAUCAAGAAGACACCUUUAAAAAGAGGACUGGACAAUCUACCUGCUGUAAUAAUCAGCAUCCUUCACUACUUUUUAUUUUAAUAUUGGAACAUGAGCAGAUUUACCACAGGAUCAGCCUGGGCAGCAAAACACUCUUAAACCUAAAUAGAAGUAAAACCUACUUUCUGAGUUCUGUA
Long non-coding RNA from Apaloderma vittatum (bar-tailed trogon), 1457 nucleotides. RefSeq lists it as uncharacterized. The record is from RefSeq and is a predicted model, not a curated record. The transcript is spliced from 2 exons. NCBI's taxonomy places the organism in Eukaryota, Metazoa, Chordata, Aves, Trogoniformes, Trogonidae.